CGCAUAAGCGCACAGGGCCGCAUGGUCCGGUGUGAAAAACUCCGGUGGUGUAAGAUGGACCCGCGUCUGAUUAGGUAGUUGGUGGGGUAACGGCCCACCAAGCCGACGAUCAGUAGCCGACCUGAGAGGGUGACCGGCCACAUUGGGACUGAGACACGGCCCAAACUCCUACGGGAGGCAGCAGUGGGGAAUAUUGGACAAUGGGCGAAAGCCUGAUCCAGCGACGCCGCGUGAGUGAAGAAGUAUUUCGGUAUGUAAAGCUCUAUCAGCAGGGAAGAAAAUGACGGUACCUGACUAAGAAGCCCCGGCUAACUACGUGCCAGCAGCCGCGGUAAUACGUAGGGGACAAGCGUUAUCCGGAUUUACUGGGUGUAAAGGGAGCGUAGACGGUUUAGCAAGUCUGAAGUGAAAGCCCGGGGCUCAACCCCGGUACUGCUUUGGAAACUGUUAGACUUGAGUGCAGGAGAGGUAAGUGGAAUUCCUAGUGUAGC
This 491-nucleotide ribosomal RNA is filed under the name uncultured Lachnospiraceae bacterium. RNAcentral describes it as "bacterial SSU rRNA". It matches the Rfam family "Bacterial small subunit ribosomal RNA", at positions 170 to 679 of the family's 1533-position model. The record is from RNAcentral. Lineage: Bacteria; Bacillati; Bacillota; Clostridia; Lachnospirales; Lachnospiraceae.